CCUACGGGCGGCAGCAGUGGGGAAUAUUGGACAAUGGGGGCAACCCUGAUCCAGCCAUGCCGCGUGUGUGAAGAAGGCCCUCGGGUUGUAAAGCACUUUCAGUGAGGAAGAACGCCUGGUGGUUAAUACCCAUCAGGAAAGACAUCACUCACAGAAGAAGCACCGGCUAACUCCGUGCCAGCAGCCGCGGUAAUACGGAGGGUGCGAGCGUUAAUCGGAAUUACUGGGCGUAAAGCGCGCGUAGGUGGCUUGAUAAGCCGGUUGUGAAAGCCCCGGGCUCAACCUGGGAACGGCAUCCGGAACUGUCAAGCUAGAGUGCAGGAGAGGAAGGUAGAAUUCCCGGUGUAGCGGCGAAAUGCGUAGAGAUCGGGAGGAAUACCAGUGGCGAAGGCGGCCUUCUGGACUGACACUGACACUGAGGUGCGAAAGCGUGGGUAGCAAACAGGAUUAGAUACCCCAGUAGUC
Molecule: ribosomal RNA, 465 nt
Filed under: Vreelandella stevensii
Lineage: Bacteria; Pseudomonadati; Pseudomonadota; Gammaproteobacteria; Oceanospirillales; Halomonadaceae
Description: partial 16S ribosomal RNA
Rfam family: Bacterial small subunit ribosomal RNA
Source: RNAcentral